AAAGGACUUGGCGGUGCUUUAGACCCACCUAGAGGAGCCUGUUCUAGAACCGAUAAUCCCCGUUCAACCUCACCCUUCCUUGCUCGUCCCGCCUAUAUACCACCGUCGCCAGCUUACCCUGUGAAGGGUAAAAAGUAAGCAAAAUUGGCACUGCCCAGAACGUCAGGUCGAGGUGUAGCGAAUGGAAGGGGAAGAAAUGGGCUACAUUCCCUUUUAUAAACGAAGGGUAUAACGAAAGAUGCACUGAAACUGUACAUCUGAAGGAGGAUUUAGCAGUAAGCGGAAAGUAGAGUGUUCCACUGAAACUGGCUCUUAAGCGCGCACACACCGCCCGUCACUCUCCCCGAAACUUUACCAAAACAUUAAUUAAAAUGCCAAAAUCAUAGAGGGGAGGCAA
Molecule: ribosomal RNA, 397 nt
Filed under: Pagrus pagrus (common seabream)
Lineage: Eukaryota; Metazoa; Chordata; Actinopteri; Spariformes; Sparidae
Description: partial 12S ribosomal RNA
Rfam family: Bacterial small subunit ribosomal RNA
Source: RNAcentral